GACGAACGCUGGCGGCGUGCCUAAUACAUGCCAGUUGAGCGCUGAAGGUUGGUACUUGUACCAACUGGAUGAGCAGCGAACGGGUGAGUAACGCGUGGAAUCUGCCUUUGAGCGGGGGACAACAUUUGGAAACGAAUGCUAAUACCGCAUAAAAACUUUAAACACAAGUUUUAAGUUUGAAAGAUGCAAUUGCAUCACUCAAAGAUGAUCCCGCGUUGUAUUAGCUAGUUGGUGAGGUAAAGGCUCACCAAGGCGAUGAUACAUAGCCGACCUGAGAGGGUGAUCGGCCACAUUGGGACUGAGACACGGCCCAAACUCCUACGGGAGGCAGCAGUAGGGAAUCUUCGGCAAUGGACGAAAGUCUGACCGAGCAACGCCGCGUGAGUGAAGAAGGUUGUCGGAUCGUAAAACUCUGUUGGUAGAGAAGAACGUUGGUGAGAGUGGAAAGCUCAUCAAGUGACGGUAACUACCCAGAAAGGGACGGCUAACUACGUG
This 495-nucleotide ribosomal RNA is filed under the name uncultured bacterium. RNAcentral's name for it is "partial 16S ribosomal RNA". It matches the Rfam family "Bacterial small subunit ribosomal RNA", at positions 28 to 507 of the family's 1533-position model. The record is from RNAcentral.